UGGGGAAUAUUGCACAAUGGAGGGAACUCUGAUGCAGCGACGCCGCGUGAGUGAUGAAGGACUUCGUUUCGUAAAACUCUGUUCUAUGGUAAGAAAAGGACUGUACCAUAGGAGAAAGCUCCGGCUAAAUACGUGCCAGCAGCCGCGGUAAUACGUAUGGAGCGAGCGUUGUCCGGAAUUAUUGGGCGUAAAGGGUGCGCAGGCGGCUUUACAAGUUGGAUGUGAAAUAUUGUGGCUCAACCACAAACGUGCAUCCAAAACUGCAAAGCUUGAGUUAAGGAGAGGUAAGUGGAAUUCCUGGUGUAGCGGUGGAAUGCGUAGAUAUCAGGAGGAAUACCGGUGGCGAAGGCGACUUACUGGACUUAAACUGACGCUCAGGCACGAAAGCGUGGGGAGCAAACAGG
RNAcentral lists this ribosomal RNA (404 nucleotides) under Fusobacteriota bacterium. RNAcentral describes it as "Fusobacteria bacterium partial 16S ribosomal RNA". It matches the Rfam family "Bacterial small subunit ribosomal RNA", at positions 355 to 776 of the family's 1533-position model. Lineage: Bacteria; Fusobacteriati; Fusobacteriota. The record is from RNAcentral.